UAACGCGUGAGGAACCUGCCUCAAAGAGGGGGACAACNNUUGGAAACGACUGCUAAUACCGCAUAAGCCCACGACCCGGCAUCGGGUAGAGGGAAAAGGAGCAAUCCGCUUUGAGAUGGCCUCGCGUCCGAUUAGCUAGUUGGUGAGGUAAUGGCCCACCAAGGCGACGAUCGGUAGCCGGACUGAGAGGUUGAACGGCCACAUUGGGACUGAGACACGGCCCAGACUCCUACGGGAGGCAGCAGUGGGGAAUAUUGCACAAUGGGGGAAACCCUGAUGCAGCGACGCCGCGUGGAGGAAGAAGGUCUUCGGAUUGUAAACUCCUGUUGUUGAGGAAGAUAAUGACGGUACUCAACAAGGAAGUGACGGCUAACUACGUGCCAGCAGCCGCGGUAAAACGUAGGUCACAAGCGUUGUCCGGAAUUACUGGGUGUAAAGGGAGCGCAGGCGGGAAGACAAGUUGGAAGUGAAAUCCAUGGGCUCAACCCAUGAACUGCUUUCAAAACUGUUUUUCUUGAGUAGUGCAGAGGUAGGCGGAAUUCCCGGUGUAGCGGUGGAAUGCGUAGAUAUCGGGAGGAACACCAGUGGCGAAGGCGGCCUACUGGGCACCAACUGACGCUGAGGCUCGAAAGUGUGGGUAGCAAACAGGAUUAGAUACCCUGGUAGUCCACACUGUAAACGAUGAUUACUAGGUG
RNAcentral lists this ribosomal RNA (695 nucleotides) under uncultured bacterium. Its description in RNAcentral is "bacterial SSU rRNA". It matches the Rfam family "Bacterial small subunit ribosomal RNA", at positions 111 to 822 of the family's 1533-position model. The record is from RNAcentral.